RNAcentral lists this ribosomal RNA (1011 nucleotides) under Triticum aestivum (bread wheat). RNAcentral's name for it is "partial small subunit ribosomal RNA". Lineage: Eukaryota; Viridiplantae; Streptophyta; Magnoliopsida; Poales; Poaceae. The record is from RNAcentral.
AUGGUAGUUGAAGGGGACACUGGGACGUCAAAGGGCAAGGAAGUUGACGAGGCUGCCUAUGGAGACUUUUCUCAUUGGGCCUCCACUGAUGAAGGUAAUCCGACAAAGGCAUCUCUUACUCCUAAUGAGAAUGCUUCAGAGUGGGUCCUAGACUCUGGAGCAUCUAAGCAUGUUGCGGGUAAUUCCUGUGUGUUUGAGUCUUACAGUAAGCAUCCUCCUACUCACAAGGGCACUAUACAAACUGCUGAUGGGACAAAUCAGCCUGUCGUAGGGGUUGGCACAGUCAAGUGCACUUCAAACAUCUCCUUAUCGUCAGUUUUACAUGUGCCAGCUUUUCCUGUCAAUUUGGUCUCUUUCAGUGCUCUCAUUGAUGAAAUAGACUGUCGUGUGAUCCUUGACAAGUUCGGAUGCUUGAUUCAGGUACGACAGACGAGCCAGACGGUUGGGACUGGCACCAGGCGUAGGGGGCUUUGGUACAUGGACCAGGAGGUGCAGCCAGACUUGGUGUGUGCUGUGACCAUGGAGGACAAGGAGAAGGAGGCGACGAUCCAUCACUGUAGGAUGGGGCAUGUAUCUUUUGAUAAGAUGAGUAGAAUAUUUCCGGAUGUUAUGUGUGGAAUAGGCAAGGGCAAGUUAACAUGUGAUGCUUGCGAAUAUGCAAAACACACACGAGCCUCAUAUGUGAGUAAGGGCCUUAGGAGCAUAUCUCCUUUUAUGCUUAUUCAUUCGGAUGUAUGGACUAGCCCGGUAGUGUCAAUGAAUGGAAAGAAGUACUUUGCUACCUUUAUUGACUGCUAUUCUCGUAUGACUUGGAUUUACUUGAUGCGUCACAAGGAUGAGGUGUUUAGCUGUUUUCAGAACUUCCAUGCUCUUGUAAAGAACCAGUUUCAGGUACAGGUCAAGGUGCUCAGGGCUGACAAUGGCACAGAGUAUGUGAACAACAUUUUUGGGGCUUUCAUGGCUGAGCAAGGGAUUCUUCAUCAAACUUCAUGCCCGGACACCCCACCUUAG